Molecule: long non-coding RNA, 3088 nt
Filed under: Homo sapiens (human)
Lineage: Eukaryota; Metazoa; Chordata; Mammalia; Primates; Hominidae
Description: non-protein coding lnc-GPC1-4:4
Source: RNAcentral
AGUGCGCUGCCAGGGUCCUGCGGGUUGGGGCGAGGGCCGAGAGGUGGGAGUUGGAGGUGAACGUGGGGGCAGCAUGCUGGCUGCCCGGCCCCUGCCUGGGUUCUGAGUUGCUGCGGUGUCGCGGGAGCUGAGGCCGCCCAGGGCGUGGAGCGACUUCUGCGUCUCGUCCCAGGGUCCUGUGCUCCCCGCAGAAUCCCCCAGGCGCGGUGUGGACGUCAAAGCGACCUCCUAGAGAACAUUCCUAGCUCUCAGAACGUUCUCGCUGGGGAGGGAAAGUGGAAAAAGAGGGGGCGAGGAGCGGAGGGACGGGGUGGGACCCCUGUCGCGGGGCGCCUGUCAGGGAGAGGGACCUGGCAAGGCCGGCCUGGGUCGCCUCCGGAGCUGAAGGCUAAGUGGUCUCAUCCAGGGGACCUGCUGUGAACACAUUGAAUAGCAUAGAAAACAAAAGCACACGCUCCAAGUCCAUCUCUUUUUUUUUUUUUUUUUUUUUUUUUUUUUUUUUUUUUUUUUGAGGCAGAGUCCCGCUCUGUCGCCCAGGCUGGAGUGCGGUGGCGCCAUCGCGCUCACUGCAAGCUCCGCCUCCCUGGUUCACGCCAUUCUCCUGCCUCAGCCUCCCGAGUAGCUGGGACUACAGGCGCCCGCCGCCACACCCGGCUAAUUUUUUGUAUUUUUAGUAGAGACGGGGUUUCACCAUGUUAGCCAGGAUGGUCUCGAUCUCCUGACCUCGUGAUCCACCCGCCUCGGCCUCCCAAAGUGCUAGGAUUACAGGCGUGAGCCACCGCGCCGGCAAGUCCAUCUCUUAAAAUGUGCUCCCGUCAGGACCUGGGCUCUGGGCUCCACGAAGGAGCCUUGCAUGGUACCCCAUCGCUGCGGGCAUGGCUGCCUUUUUAACUUGGCUGUACCUCCCUGGUUUCUGUGGACAGACUGAAAGUCCAAGCGGACGCUGCCGAGGGAGGCUGGCAUCCUCUCAUCGUAAACAAGGUUCUCCAAUAUGUUACAAAGACUGUUUUUGCCCAGUCACAAAUUCAAACCUAGGUCUCCAAUCUGAGAGAGGAAAGUGAAGCUUUCCGUACCACAGAACGGAUGUAUUUUGGGGUGGUCCGUGAGACGGGUACUGCAGUAGCUCCUCCCGGCUGCACCUACCAUCAGCCUGCAGCCAUUUACUCUGAUGCCUUCCCUGGUGCCUGGCAGAGCCACCCAGAACCAGUCCUCGUCAAUGAUGAGUGAGCAAAUGCUGUCUGCCCCAUUCAGCCACCUGAGGCUGCUGGCUGAUUCUGGGUAUGAUGUUAGACAUCAGGGCAUAACCCAAUGCCUGUGAAUAUGUACCCAGCACAGUACUCAAAAAUGCAAGGGCCAUUUAUGGAGCAUCCAUGAGCCAUCCUGCUUGGUGCUGGCCGUGAGACUGCAGAGGGGAGUCCCUGCUCCAGACUGUAUGUGGGGGGCAUGUGGAGUGGGGAUUGUCAAUCACACACAUAAAAGAAGAGCUCUCUCCCCAUGCAAGGAAUACAACGUACCCUAAAAUCACAGCGAAAGGAGCCCAUCGGCAACAUGGAAAGUGCUGGAUCCUACCUGGGGCGUCUGGAAGCCUCACUGCAAACGGCUGCAGCUGCCUGCAGGAGUGAAGAGUGGCUUCUGCCUGUGUCCAGCAACUCCCAGUCUGGCCACAGUGACCAGACGAGCCUUGAACAUGCUCUUGAGAAGUGGGCUGCCUGAGGCACUGGGGAGAAACCACUGUGGCUUUUUCUGAUGAGCAUAGGGACUCCAGGGUCCAAUUAUCCCCCUGAUGAUGGAAAGGCCCACACUGCCAAUUAGGUGAGCCUGUGCCUCUGGGGCCAGGCUGGCCCCUGCCUGGCUGAGGGCACCCAAGCAGAGGCUGUUGAGCCCGCUCCUGGCUCCCUGUUUGGGCCCUUCGCCCUCCUCAGUGGCUAUCUAUCUCCCACACUCCCUACUGGAGGAGCUGCUGUCCAUGGGCCACCCUUGUUCCUGCACAGCCCGCACCCUCUGAGGGAAGAAUUUGUCCCACCUGACCUCUGUUUCCUCUCUGGUCCAAUUUUUCCGACCUCCCCUGUUCUCGCCACUCUAAUUCCAUGGCCCCAGGUGCUCCUCAGAUAGGCUGGCUCCUGCCACCCCGCUUGGGGCUUUGGGACUCACUGUGCCCUCUGGAAUGUUCUCCUUCCGCAUCAGCCCGCCCCCUCCCUCACUUCCUACAAUCCCACACCCAGCCAGGACAUUCCUUUUUCCUCCCCUGCCAGAUGAGGAAAGGGAGAAACCCUCUCUGGCCUCUCCCAGCUGCCAGGGGAGAAACCCUGUCUGGCCUCUCCCAGCUUCUGGGGGCUCCUGGCUUCAGGGUCUGUGGCACCAACACUUUGAUCUCUGCAUCUCAGGUCACGUCACCUCCCAUGAUCUGUGUGUCAGAUCUCUUCUGUGUGUCUCCUUAUAUGAGUGUUUAUUAUUUUCAAAUUUAUGCAUAAUAGAUGAAUAUGUUUUUGGAGUACAUAUGAUAAUUGAAUGCAAUUAUAAUUUGUAAAUAUCAAAUCAGUGUAAAUGGGCUAUUCAUCACCUGAAAUAUUUGUCUUUUCUUUAUACCAGAAACAUUCAAAUUAUUUCUCUUAUGACUAUUUUGAAAUAUGCAAUAGAUUACUGAAAACUAUAGUCACCUUACUGAUCUCUAAUGCUCAGUCUUAUUUCUUCUAUCAAACUAUACAUCUGUAUCCAUUAAUCAACCUCGCUUCAUCCCGCAGUCCCCUAUACCCUUCCCAGCCUCUCAUAACCACCAAUCUACUAUUUCCAUGAGAUCCACUUUUUAAGCUCCCACAUAUGAGUGAGAACAUGCGAUAUUUGUCUUUGUGCCUGGCUUAUUUCACUUAACAUAAUGACCUCCAGUUCCAUCCAUGUUGCUGCAAAUAACAAGAUUUCAUUCUUUUUAUGGCUGAAUAAUAUUCCACUGCAUAUAGUACCACUUUUUUUAAUCCAUUCAUCCAUUGAGGUGGACACUUAGAUUGAUUCCAUAUUUUGGCUAUUGUGAAUAGGGCUGCAAUAAACAUGGGAGUGCAGAUAUUUCUUCAAUGUAUUGAUUUGCUUUCUUUUG